Long non-coding RNA from Pantherophis guttatus, 394 nucleotides. RefSeq lists it as uncharacterized. NCBI's taxonomy places the organism in Eukaryota, Metazoa, Chordata, Lepidosauria, Squamata, Colubridae. The record is from RefSeq and is a predicted model, not a curated record.
GGGAUACAGGCCAAUUCUAACCGUCGAACUUCAUUCGCUCUUCCGAGCAGAGUCUAUCCUGUCGAGAAAAAGAGGAGGAGAAAGGAUUCCCAGGGUAGCCAAUCCCUGAACAGAAAAUGUACGCGAUAAAAUAGAAUGGGAGAUGCAGAGGAAGAACCAAGAAUCAGGGAGGAUUCGAUAUAUAUAUAUACAAAGGAGGAGUGGUCAGAGACUAACGUCGCUGUUCAAGGGGGCAACAUGUCAGGUCCACAUCAUGUCCUGCCAUUCUGUUGGAAGGGGGAGGAGAGAACAGCUUUUUGGCAUUUUUUCACAUGCUUUUGCUUCAUGGGCUUUUUCAGAUUUUUCCUGACUUUACUGCAACCACACUCUCUCAGUAAAAGUUCUUUUGAUUCAA